UUAAAAUAUUUCAUAAUUAAACAUAAAAUAUAAGUUAAUCCAUACUUAAACAAAAAAUAUAAAAUUUUUUAUUCGAAUUUUCAAUAAUUCAUGAAUAAUUCGCAAAUAAUUCAGCUAGUCUAAAAAAUUCGCCUUUUGUUCUGUUUUUUAGAAAAAAAAAAUCGCAUACAGACUAUUUUAUUCAAAUUUUAAUAAUUCAUGAAUAAUUUGUGAAUAAUUCACGAAUUAACUAACAGAGUAAACAACCUAAUUGAAAUUUGCUCCAAAAG
This 269-nucleotide long non-coding RNA is filed under the name Ananas comosus (pineapple). Its description in RNAcentral is "long non-coding RNA (ACOM_LNC001197)". Lineage: Eukaryota; Viridiplantae; Streptophyta; Magnoliopsida; Poales; Bromeliaceae. The record is from RNAcentral.